AUACGGAGGUAGCAAGCGUUAUUCGGAAUCACUGGGCGUAAAGGACGCGUAGGCGGGUUUGUAAGUCAGGUGUGAAAUCCUACAGCUCAACUGUAGAACUGCACUUGAAACUACAGACCUAGAGUAUGGAAGGGGCAGAUGGAAUUAGUGGUGUAGGGGUAAAAUCCGUAGAUAUCACUAGGAAUACCGAAAGCGAAGGCGAUCUGCUGGGACAUUACUGACGCUGCGGCGUGAAAGCGUGGGGAGCAAACAGGAUUAGAAACCCUAGUAGUCC
This 274-nucleotide ribosomal RNA is filed under the name uncultured bacterium. RNAcentral's name for it is "partial 16S ribosomal RNA". It matches the Rfam family "Bacterial small subunit ribosomal RNA", at positions 523 to 796 of the family's 1533-position model. The record is from RNAcentral.